UGGGAUUGUGACUCAGUGGUAGAGUGCUUGCCUAGCAUGCAUGAGGCUCUGGGUUCGAUCCCCAGCACCUCAU
Non-coding RNA from Sciurus carolinensis (gray squirrel), 73 nucleotides. The record is from the annotation of a RefSeq genome assembly. NCBI's taxonomy places the organism in Eukaryota, Metazoa, Chordata, Mammalia, Rodentia, Sciuridae.